GUUCUUGUCGCUGUUCCUGUCGUCGUCAUCUCAAUUCGCGCACACACACACAGACACACACACAUACAGCUAGACAGGCUCCACCAACACACAGGACACCCGCACUUAUACCAAGGCAAGUAAGGAAUCGCGGCGUCAAAAACAGCGACAGGACACGACGAUGCCGCGACUAUUGAGAGAGUGAGAAAGAGAGAGAGAAAGCGAGAGCGAGAGCGAGAGAAAGAGCACCAGCGAAAGCACCAGAAUGAGAGGGAAAGGAUGAGCGAGAGAAGGUGAGAUGGCGAGAUGGAAAGAACGAGAGCUUCCCAGUUGGACUUCUCUCCGUAAUCCCAUGUGUGUGUGUGUGAGGGAGGGAGGGUAGGGAAGCUCGCUGGAACUUUUUCGCAUACUCGCAGGAUAUUCGGUUAGAGAGUAGUGGAGAGAGGAGCCUUGCGGAGGAGGAUGUGCGUAUGUGUGUGUGUGUGUGUCGUCUCAGUUGACGUCUCAGUUCGCGGCGACUGCGGCGGCGGCGGCGGUAGCAAACAGCGACGUUGACUGCGGCGAGGACAUACACAUAAAUAAAAAGUCCUUCAUUCCGUCGCGACCAGCGAGUAACGGCAUAUGAGCGCUCGCAGAGAAAUCGCUAAUAACGGCGAACGGCGGACGAAAAAAGCACAAGAGCCUCCACAAAAAAUCCAAAGCACAGAAGCUAAAUAAUUAACCAACCAAUAAAUAAAAAAAUCUUAAAAAAAAAAACCGAAAACCGAAAAACUGCUAUUCCAAAAAAAAACAAAUACAAAGAAAAAACUAAUACAAGAAUUUAAAGAAUUCUCUUGGAGUUUGAACUAGUGCCCCCCCUUUUUCAGAUUUUUUGUGUGCGUGUGUGUCCCUGUUCGAAUGUCCUUUUCUGACGUAUGGCAGGAUAUUUAUUUUUUUUUAAAUAAAAUUCGAAAUAUUUCAAGCACAGAAGCUAGUGGAUAAGGAAUAAGUG
This is a long non-coding RNA of Drosophila ananassae, 970 nucleotides long. RefSeq lists it as uncharacterized. The transcript is spliced from 2 exons. The record is from RefSeq and is a predicted model, not a curated record. NCBI's taxonomy places the organism in Eukaryota, Metazoa, Arthropoda, Insecta, Diptera, Drosophilidae.